GUGAGUCAUCGAAUCUUUGAACGCAACUUGCGCUCUCUGGUAUUCCGGAGAGCAUGCCUGUUUGAGUAUCAUGAAAUCUCAACCAUUAGGGUUUCUUAAUGGCUUGGAAUUGGGUGUUGCCAGUCGCCUGGCUCGCCUUAAAAGAGUUAGCGUGUUUAACUUGUCUAUCUGGCGUAAUAAGUUUCGCUGGUGUUGGCUUGAGAAGUACGCUUCUAAUCGUCUUCGGACAAUUCUUGAACUCUGGUCUCAAAUCAGGUAGGGCUACCCGCUGAACUUAAGCAUAUCAAUAAGCGGAGGA
RNAcentral lists this unclassified non-coding RNA (298 nucleotides) under Cutaneotrichosporon sp. RNAcentral describes it as "partial contains 5.8S ribosomal RNA, internal transcribed spacer 2, and large subunit ribosomal RNA". The stretch from base 1 to 71 matches the Rfam family "5.8S ribosomal RNA", at positions 84 to 154 of the family's 154-position model. Lineage: Eukaryota; Fungi; Basidiomycota; Tremellomycetes; Trichosporonales; Trichosporonaceae. The record is from RNAcentral.